CAUAGCCCAUGGUCUUUAUCGAAUUCCUUUUGAGUUUCUUCGCGUACUGACCACCUUGGUUUAUCAACUCCUAGCUUCAAAUCCUGUAACCCCUUCCAAACUUCCUUCAACGGAUCAAGGUUGUUGAUAGUGAUGUUGAUUCUGAUCCUGUUCCUGAUGCUCUUCGUCGGUUUGCAUGUUGAAAAUUUUGGAUUUUGAUGCAAGUUUGAGGAAGAUCGAAGUUGGUUUCAAGUAUUCUCCGGGAGAUUCUGGAAAUCACCUUUGCGAAGAGAGAGAGAUUUUUUUACUUCAAAGUAUA
RNAcentral lists this long non-coding RNA (298 nucleotides) under Brassica napus (rape). RNAcentral describes it as "long non-coding RNA (BNAP_LNC013862)". The record is from RNAcentral. Lineage: Eukaryota; Viridiplantae; Streptophyta; Magnoliopsida; Brassicales; Brassicaceae.